Rhinopithecus roxellana (golden snub-nosed monkey) is the source of this 186-nucleotide long non-coding RNA. RefSeq lists it as uncharacterized. The record is from RefSeq and is a predicted model, not a curated record. The transcript has 3 exons. Lineage: Eukaryota; Metazoa; Chordata; Mammalia; Primates; Cercopithecidae.
GUACUUUUAUGCUGUGUCAUAACAGAGCAGAGAAGGUCAAAGCGGAAGUGGACAUGUGGUGGAAAGAGCUCCUGUGUCUGGAUAAAGCCAAGGCAAUUCUUUGGAUGUCAAUCAUUUUGAAGGGCGACUUUCUUGCAUGACUUGCUUGCCUGCUGUGUUCAUCAGACUGCCCAGUGGAACAGAAGG